This 631-nucleotide ribosomal RNA is filed under the name Russula sp. TypeCNH. RNAcentral's name for it is "eukaryotic LSU rRNA". The stretch from base 200 to 353 matches the Rfam family "5.8S ribosomal RNA". The record is from RNAcentral. Lineage: Eukaryota; Fungi; Basidiomycota; Agaricomycetes; Russulales; Russulaceae.
GGCGAGGGUUGUCGCUGACCUUUCUAAAAGGUCGUGCACGCCCGAGCGCUUCUCAAUCCAUUUCACCCUUUGUGCAUCACCGCGUGGGGUCUUCUCCCUCUUGACUCGCUUCGAGAGGGGGAGGCUCGCGUUUUUCACACAUAAACAACACCCUUAUAGUUUAGAAUGUCAUUCAUUUGCGGUCACACGCAAUCAAUACAACUUUCAACAACGGAUCUCUUGGCUCUCGCAUCGAUGAAGAACGCAGCGAAAUGCGAUACGUAAUGUGAAUUGCAGAAUUCAGUGAAUCAUCGAAUCUUUGAACGCAUCUUGCGCCCCUUGGUAUUCCGAGGGGCACACCCGUUUGAGUGUCGUGAAAUUCUCAAACCUUCUUGGUUUCUUGAUCAAGAUGGCUUUGGACUUUGGAGGUGUUUUGCUGGCUUUUCGCAAAGUCAGCUCCUCUUAAAUACAUUAGUGGGGUCCCCUUUGCCGAUCCCCAGGCGUGAUAAGAUGUUUCUACGUCUUGGGAUUUGCUCUGUUCCUUGGGAACCCGCUUCUAACCGUCUCGUUGGAGACACCGUUCGAGUUUGCUCGACGCACGAACCUUGACCUCAAAUCGGGUGAGACUACCCGCUGAACUUAAGCAUAUCAU